This 253-nucleotide ribosomal RNA is filed under the name uncultured bacterium. RNAcentral describes it as "partial 16S ribosomal RNA". It matches the Rfam family "Bacterial small subunit ribosomal RNA", at positions 524 to 776 of the family's 1533-position model. The record is from RNAcentral.
UACGUAGGGGGCUAGCGUUGUCCGGAAUCAUUGGGCGUAAAGCGCGCGUAAGCGGCCCGGUAAGUCCGCUGUGAAAGUCCAGGGCUCAACCCUGGAAAGCCGGUGGAUACUGCCGGGCUAGAGUCCGGAAGAGGCGAGUGGAAUUCCUGGUGUAGCGGUGGAAUGCGCAGAUAUCGGGAGGAAUACCAAUGGCGAAGGCAAGCUUCUGGGCCGUCACUGACGCUGAGCUGCGAAAGCUAGGGGAGCAAACAGG